AGCAGUUCUUGGAUGAUGCACCCCAGAAUCUGGGUCCCUCCUCUCUGGUUCCGGGUGUAUCACCUGAGAACCGCA
Myotis lucifugus (little brown bat) is the source of this 75-nucleotide non-coding RNA. The record is from Rfam. Lineage: Eukaryota; Metazoa; Chordata; Mammalia; Chiroptera; Vespertilionidae.